AGAGUUUGAUCAUGGCUCAGAUUGAACGCUGGCGGCAGGCCUAACACAUGCAAGUCGAACGGUAACAGGAAACAGCUUGCUGUUUCGCUGACGAGUGGCGGACGGGUGAGUAAUGUCUGGGAAACUGCCUGAUGGAGGGGGAUAACUACUGGAAACGGUAGCUAAUACCGCAUAAUGUCGCAAGACCAAAGAGGGGGACCUUAGGGCCUCUUGCCAUCGGAUGUGCCCAGAUGGGAUUAGCUUGUUGGUGGGGUAACGGCUCACCAAGGCGACGAUCCCUAGCUGGUCUGAGAGGAUGACCAGCCACACUGGAACUGAGACACGGUCCAGACUCCUACGGGAGGCAGCAGUGGGGAAUAUUGCACAAUGGGCGCAAGCCUGAUGCAGCCAUGCCGCGUGUAUGAAGAAGGCCUUCGGGUUGUAAAGUACUUUCAGCGGGGAGGAAGGGAGUAAAGUUAAUACCUUUGCUCAUUGACGUUACCCGCAGAAGAAGCACCGGCUAACUCCGUGCCAGCAGCCGCGGUAAUACGGAGGGUGCAAGCGUUAAUCGGAAUUACUGGGCGUAAAGCGCACGCAGGCGGUUUGUUAAGUCAGAUGUGAAAUCCCCGGGCUCAACCUGGGAACUGCAUCUGAUACUGGCAAGCUUGAGUCUCGUAGAGGGGGUAGAAUUCCAGGUGUAGCGGUGAAAUGCGUAGAGAUCUGGAGGAAUACCGGUGGCGAAGGCGGCCCCCUGGACGAAGACUGACGCUCAGGUGCGAAAGCGUGGGGAGCAAACAGGAUUAGAUACCCUGGUAGUCCACGCCGUAAACGAUGUCGACUUGGAGGUUGUGCCCUUGAGGCGUGGCUUCCGGAGCUAACGCGUUAAGUCGACCGCCUGGGGAGUACGGCCGCAAGGUUAAAACUCAAAUGAAUUGACGGGGGCCCGCACAAGCGGUGGAGCAUGUGGUUUAAUUCGAUGCAACGCGAAGAACCUUACCUGGUCUUGACAUCCACGGAAGUUUUCAGAGAUGAGAAUGUGCCUUCGGGAACCGUGAGACAGGUGCUGCAUGGCUGUCGUCAGCUCGUGUUGUGAAAUGUUGGGUUAAGUCCCGCAACGAGCGCAACCCUUAUCCUUUGUUGCCAGCGGUCCGGCCGGGAACUCAAAGGAGACUGCCAGUGAUAAACUGGAGGAAGGUGGGGAUGACGUCAAGUCAUCAUGGCCCUUACGACCAGGGCUACACACGUGCUACAAUGGCGCAUACAAAGAGAAGCGACCUCGCGAGAGCAAGCGGACCUCAUAAAGUGCGUCGUAGUCCGGAUUGGAGUCUGCAACUCGACUCCAUGAAGUCGGAAUCGCUAGUAAUCGUGGAUCAGAAUGCCACGGUGAAUACGUUCCCGGGCCUUGUACACACCGCCCGUCACACCAUGGGAGUGGGUUGCAAAAGAAGUAGGUAGCUUAACCUUCGGGAGGGCGCUUACCACUUUGUGAUUCAUGACUGGGGUGAAGUCGUAACAAGGUAACCGUAGGGGAACCUGCGGUUG
RNAcentral lists this ribosomal RNA (1521 nucleotides) under Shigella dysenteriae. RNAcentral's name for it is "bacterial SSU rRNA". It matches the Rfam family "Bacterial small subunit ribosomal RNA". The record is from RNAcentral. Lineage: Bacteria; Pseudomonadati; Pseudomonadota; Gammaproteobacteria; Enterobacterales; Enterobacteriaceae.